GGGCGAGUGGCGGAAUUGGCAGACGCAAAGGACUUAAAAUCCUUCGGUUGCAAGGCCGUGAGGGUUCGAGUCCCUCCUUGCCCACCA
This 87-nucleotide transfer RNA is filed under the name Candidatus Aadella gelida. RNAcentral's name for it is "tRNA-Leu". It matches the Rfam family "tRNA". Rfam says of the family: Transfer RNA (tRNA) molecules are approximately 80 nucleotides in length. Their secondary structure includes four short double-helical elements and three loops (D, anti-codon, and T loops). Further hydrogen bonds mediate the characteristic L-shaped molecular structure. tRNAs have two regions of fundamental functional importance: the anti-codon, which is responsible for specific mRNA codon recognition, and the 3' end, to which the tRNAs corresponding amino acid is attached (by aminoacyl-tRNA synthetases). tRNAs cope with the degeneracy of the genetic code in two manners: having more than one tRNA (with a specific anti-codon) for a particular amino acid; and 'wobble' base-pairing, i.e. permitting non-standard base-pairing at the 3rd anti-codon position. Lineage: Bacteria; Pseudomonadati; Candidatus Omnitrophota. The record is from RNAcentral.